RNAcentral lists this ribosomal RNA (253 nucleotides) under uncultured bacterium. Its description in RNAcentral is "partial 16S ribosomal RNA". It matches the Rfam family "Bacterial small subunit ribosomal RNA", at positions 524 to 776 of the family's 1533-position model. The record is from RNAcentral.
UACGUAGGUUGCGAGCGUUGUCCGGAAUUAUUGGGCGUAAAGAGCUUGUAGGCGGCUUGUCGCGUCUGCUGUGAAAAUCCGAGGCUCAACCUCGGACUUGCAGUGGGUACGGGCAGGCUAGAGUGUGGUAGGGGAGACUGGAAUUCCUGGUGUAGCGGUGAAAUGCGCAGAUAUCAGGAGGAACACCGAUGGCGAAGGCAGGUCUCUGGGCCACUACUGACGCUGAGAAGCGAAAGCAUGGGGAGCGAACAGG